This 194-nucleotide unclassified non-coding RNA is filed under the name rhizosphere metagenome. RNAcentral describes it as "partial ribosomal RNA internal transcribed spacer region". The record is from RNAcentral.
GUAGGUGAACCUGCGGAAGGAUCAUUACCGAGUGAGGGCCCUCUGGGUCCAACCUCCCACCCGUGUCUCUUGUACCUUGUUGCUUCGGUGGGCCCGCGCCCGCCGAAGACACCCCUGAACGCUGUCUGAAGAUUGCAGUCUGAGCAGAUUAGCUAAAUCAGUUAAAACUUUCAACAACGGAUCUCUUGGUUCCG